Molecule: long non-coding RNA, 1333 nt
Filed under: Ananas comosus (pineapple)
Lineage: Eukaryota; Viridiplantae; Streptophyta; Magnoliopsida; Poales; Bromeliaceae
Description: long non-coding RNA (ACOM_LNC023973)
Source: RNAcentral
UCACAUUCGAACUCAAACCGAAUCAAGUUCACAUACAAACCAAAUCCAAAUCAAGUUCACAUACAAACCAAAUCCAAAUCAAGUUCACAUACAAAUCCAAAUCCGAAUCAAGUUCACAUUCGAACCCAAACAGAAUCAAGUUCACAUUCGAAUCCAAACCAAACCAAGUCCACAAAUAAACCCACAAAUAAACCCAAACUUGAACCCAAAUAAACCCAAACCCAAUCCAAAUCAAGUCCACAAAUAAACCCAAACUUGAACCCAAAUAAAUCCAAACCCAAACCAAAUAAAGUCCACAAAUAAAGCCCAAAACCAAAACCCAAAUAAAAUCCGAACCCAAAUCCAAACCCAUCCAAGCCCAAAACCAAAUACAGCCGACAAAUAAACCUAAACCCAAAACCCAAAUAAACCCAAACCCAAAACCCAAAUCAAACCCGAACCCAAACCCAAAUCAAGUCCACAUCCAAACCUAACCUAAACCAAGUCCACAAAUAGAACCCAAACCCAUUCCACAAAUAGAAUCCAAAUCCAACCCAAACCAAGUCUAUAAAUAAAACCAAAAUCCAAACCGAAACCCGAAUCCAAAUCCAAACCCAAAACCCAAAUCCAACUUCCAACUUAGACUUAUGAAUCUAAACCACAUCCAAGUUCAUGAACCAAAUCCCAUACACCAAACCUCAUAAACUAAACUCAUAAACCAUACACCAAGUUCAUGACUCCAAUCUCAUGAACCAUGUACCAAGUUCAUGAAUCAUAACCAAACCUCAUGAACCGUACACCAAGUUCAUGAAUCAUAAACCAAACCCCAUGAACCAUACACCAAGUUCAUGAAUCAUAAACCAAACCCCAUAAACCAUACACCAAAUUCAUGAACCAUGAACUAAAUCCAUAAACCAAGUCCAUAAACCUCAUGAACUAUAAACCAAGUUCAUGAACCAUGAAUCAUGAACCAAAUUCAUAAACCUCAUCCAUGAACCAUAUCCAAGUUCAUGAACCAUACACCAUGAACCAUAAAUCAUACACCAUAAACCAUAAACCAAGAUCAUAUAACCAACCUCAUGAACCAUAAACCAAGUUCAUGAACCAUACCUUAUGAACCCAUGAACCAUACACCAAGUUCAUAAACCUCAUCCAUGAACCAUAUCCAAGUUCAUGAACCAAAUCCCAUACACCAAACCUCAUGAACCAUAAACCACAACCCAAGCCCAUGGAUCAAAUCCCAUAGACCAUAUACCCAACCUCAUGAACCAUAUCCAAAUCUCAUGAACCAAAUCCAUAAACCAAAACUCACGAACCAAUGAACCAUGUAUCAAGCUCAUACCAAGUUUAUCAU